CACUAAAAAUGCGUCUCAACAAUUUGGGGGCUCGUUCCGGGAUACAGGGAGUUGUGAGGAGAACAUCGAGAGGACCAUUCGGACCUAAACAUUUUCUUCAUGGACAAAGGACAAAGACACUAGCCGGCACUUACAAAUAAGGCAGGAGGUUUCCAGGGCCCCAGUCCAAGCUUAUUGGAAUCAAAGGUGAUGAUCAGUCAUUAACCCACACGCAGUAUUUCCAUGCUUUACAAGCCCUUGUUGCAGAGUAUGCCAAGCAGGUGGGGGAGAGAAACAAGGAAGACACAGCGACCCCACCAAGCACAGAGUGGGUCCUACUGAAGGUGCUCAAGUGAAAGUGGACCGAACCCAGGUGGACGGGUCCAUAUCGAGUGACUGAACGCACCUCGCAUGCUGUUCGGCUGAACGGCAAGGGAGACACGUGGUUCCACUGGAGCCAGUGUGCAGCGGCGGACGCCCCUGCACGCACGUUGGGAGAGACACGUACCGAGUUACGUGAACAACAACAACGGGAGAAGACCACCAAUCAACAAGGGGCAGAAUAAUCCCCUGGUGGCAUCAGGGUGAGGUAGUCUACCCAAAAUCCCUGUGGGAGGAGGUGAAAUAGCGCUCCUCUCCUACACGUGGUGUGCCAAACCACCAACCAGAUUCGUCGAGGGACCAAGAAGAUCGUGACAACCAUCGACCUCCUUAUUCUCUGUUGGUUUGGGGUACUCAUGGUCUUUCUUUGGGCCCUGAUACAUCUGUCCAUCACGGGUACAACUCAAGUUUAAGGUGCCACUAAGUAUUAGUACUUAGUCGAAUUUUUAAGUACAUAUUAUACGAUGUUUUGAUUUGUGAUCUCUAUUAGAGAUCAAAAGGGGGAUUAAUGAGUGUACACAGCUUCAUGUCUGAGAGUUCAGAGUUGUCUGAGAGUUCAGAGUGUACCAAACAAAACAGGAAACGUCCUGACCUCAAAUUGACUCAGUGUGCCAAACACUGCACCUACAGGAAACAGAUGUUUGAGCAAUAACGAAAAUAACAGGAAACCAAGCAAACACUGCACAUACAGGAAACAGAUGCUUGAGCAACAACCAACUUAACAGGAAACCAAGAGUACUUCCUAGACACGAGACACAUAGCAACUGACGUCAGUCAGUAGACUGACCAAUCAGAUAACUACUAGCACAGUGUAUAUAAGCUGCUGUACAACAAACUAUCAGACAAAUCGCUUUGGGUUUUCCUGGUACUACUGUUCAAGUGUACUAUACGAUCUCCGCUCUCUGCAGACUGCGUUCAAUAAAAUACUUCUACUUGACUCAA
This is a long non-coding RNA of Nerophis ophidion (straightnose pipefish), 1302 nucleotides long. RefSeq lists it as uncharacterized. The record is from RefSeq and is a predicted model, not a curated record. The transcript has 2 exons. Lineage: Eukaryota; Metazoa; Chordata; Actinopteri; Syngnathiformes; Syngnathidae.